This is a long non-coding RNA of Malus domestica (apple), 993 nucleotides long. RefSeq lists it as uncharacterized. Lineage: Eukaryota; Viridiplantae; Streptophyta; Magnoliopsida; Rosales; Rosaceae. The record is from RefSeq and is a predicted model, not a curated record.
AAUUGAGAUCCCUCGGAGCUGUAUAACUCAAGAAAUUCAGAUCAGCAUGCUUUCUUCAUUGAAGUUGUUCCUGAACUUGUGAACUACAACCUUGAUAUGGACACUUGGACACCUAUAUAUAUGUGGUUCUGAUGCAGAGGAGAAGCUGUAAGAGGUUAUGAUCUUGCUGCACUUAGGUACAACUAUUCUUCAACUCAUAUAAACUUUCUGUUUUAUACUAAACUGGAGGAAAAGAUACAUGCAAAGGAGAUGGAAAAGAAUAAUUUGCAAGCCAAGCAUGAGGAAGAAACUGACUUAAAACAACUCCAAUGCCAAUCUUCUAUCAAGAGCCUCCACCUCCUAAAGCGGACAUGAAGAAGGUGCUCCGGGUCUACGCACCAGUUCAAUCUCCACCGUCCGGUUAUCGUCGAUGAGGCGACAGAGUUCUUCAACACAGUUGGAGUUUCAGAUUUCACUUUGAUAGUUGCAAAUUGUGGGGAUGGCGGUGUCGUGCAAAGUUAACCCGUUCGUGGCUCACCGGAAAACCCCCUGAUUGGGCUUUAUAAGGAGAGGGAACUCAUAAUGUAGUAGAUAUUCCUCAAUGCAAAGUUUGACAUUCUCGACGAUGAUGAUAAUGUAGUUCAGGAUUAUGAUUCGCCCCGAACAAGAAGGAUGGAUUUGCUGUCUAUGCCAACAAGGGGGUAAGGUGAGAUAUAGUUUUCGUCAUGUCUUUAUAGUAGCUAGGCAUUUUUCAAGGACUUUUAAUUGCUGCUGCAUUGUUGAAUACAUUAAGAAUGAUGCGAUAAACCAGGGAGGGAGUCAUCAGCUUAUGGAUUGUUAACACAUCCAAAGUGCUGUAAUCUUUUCGCUACUUAAACAUGUUAAGAAUCUAUAUUCAUCUUAAUGUAUUCAUAAUUGUGUUGAAUUUAUUCAACUUAAAUGUGUUUUAUUCAUUCGAUUACGCCUGAAACAGCUGGUUCCCGCAGCAACGCGCAGGCAUUAUUUCUAGUACCA